AAGACUAUAGACCUGCGGAGUACCUGCGGAGGGAUCAUUACAGGACUCGCAAGACUCCUUAAACCCCUGUGAACUUACUGUUUAUACGUUGCUUCGGCGGGUGCUCCGGGGUCCGCCCCGGGGCGCUGCGCCCGCCGGCAGCCUACUUAAUUCUGUUUCUCUGCGUUGGCAUCUCGAGUAAGCAAAAUAAGUUAAAACUUUCAACAAUGGAUCUCU
This 216-nucleotide unclassified non-coding RNA is filed under the name soil metagenome. Its description in RNAcentral is "partial contains 5.8S ribosomal RNA, internal transcribed spacer 2, and large subunit ribosomal RNA". The record is from RNAcentral.